GCGCUUAUAGUGUAGCGGUUAUCAUCCCAGCCUUCCAAGCUGGGGACGGGGGUUCGACUCCCCCUGGGCGCA
This 72-nucleotide transfer RNA is filed under the name Colletotrichum liriopes. Its description in RNAcentral is "tRNA-Gly". It matches the Rfam family "tRNA". From Rfam's summary of the family: Transfer RNA (tRNA) molecules are approximately 80 nucleotides in length. Their secondary structure includes four short double-helical elements and three loops (D, anti-codon, and T loops). The record is from RNAcentral. Lineage: Eukaryota; Fungi; Ascomycota; Sordariomycetes; Glomerellales; Glomerellaceae. RNAcentral also lists the same sequence under 1 other name.